AACGCACGAGACCUGCGGACCUGCGGAGGGAUCAUUAGUGAACGCCCUCACGGGCUUAUAACUAUUCCAAACCUCUGUGAGCCGUGCCCUUCGGGGCUAUUUUACAAACAUGGUGUAAUGAACGUCAUAUAUCAUAACAAAACAAAACUUUCAACAACGGAUCUCU
RNAcentral lists this unclassified non-coding RNA (166 nucleotides) under soil metagenome. RNAcentral describes it as "partial contains 5.8S ribosomal RNA, internal transcribed spacer 2, and large subunit ribosomal RNA". The record is from RNAcentral.